Molecule: ribosomal RNA, 466 nt
Filed under: uncultured bacterium
Lineage: Bacteria
Description: partial 16S ribosomal RNA
Rfam family: Bacterial small subunit ribosomal RNA
Source: RNAcentral
GACGAACGCUGGCGGCGCGCCUAACACAUGCAAGUCGAACGAGCGAGAGAGAGCUUGCUUUCUUGAGCGAGUGGCGAACGGGUGAGUAACGCGUGAGGAACCUGCCUCAAAGAGGGGGACAACAGUUGGAAACGACUGCUAAUACCGCAUAAGCCCACGACCCGGCAUCGGGUUGAGGGAAAAGGAGCAAUCCGCUUUGAGAUGGCCUCGCGUCCGAUUAGCUAGUUGGUGAGGUAACGGCCCACCAAGGCGACGAUCGGUAGCCGGACUGAGAGGUUGAACGGCCACAUUGGGACUGAGACACGGCCCAGACUCCUACGGGAGGCAGCAGUGGGGAAUAUUGCACAAUGGGGGAAACCCUGAUGCAGCGACGCCGCGUGGAGGGAGAAGGUCUUCGGAUUGUAAACUCCUGUUGUUGAGGAAGAUAAUGACGGUACUCAACAAGGAAGUGACGGCUAACUACGUG